CUCUCGUUAAAUAUGCUUAAAUCAUACCUUAAAUUACUAGUAAAUUUUGUUCAAUUUGUUAUGUCCAUGGCUGCCCUAGCCGAUUAUUAUCCAAAUUGCACAUAUAGUCCGAGUUUUGUCCCAAAUAGUUCUUACCAAACUAAUCUAAACGACCUAUUAACCAACUUGAUUUCCCAUUCUUCGGCAAAUGGAUACUAUAACUCUUCCGUUGGCCAAGGGGACGAUCAAGUCUACGGCGCUUACCUAUGUCGUGGUGACGCUUCGACUACUGAAUGUAGGGAUUGUGUAGAAGAAGCACAUAACUACAUUCUCUUAAAUUGUUCCUCUAAAUAUCGGGCUGUUAUAUGGUUCGAGUAUUGUAUGCUCCUUUAUUCAAACGUGUUGUUUUUUCAAAAGUUGGAAUACGAUCCUAGGUGGAUUAUAGGGAACCCUCGAAGCAUAAGUCCUAAUGAGACUCAGAGAUUUUGUCGAGGUACUGACUACUACUGCCGAGAAAUUAGUACCGAAAGUUGCAAAUAGUACUGCAAAGUUUGGGACUAAUGUAGGCAGCAGUACAGGCACCUUGCCGCGGUUGUAUAUACUGGGGCAGUGCACACCCGACUUGAACGAUGUCGAUUGUGCAACGUGCUUGAGGAUGGCUAAUCGCCAGUUUCUACACCAGUACGGUGGAAGAGUUAUGCUGCCUAGUUGUAUUGUUAGGUUUGAGUUCAACCAGUACGACCAACCCUUUUACAAGAGUGACACCGCUGUAAUGUCAUUCAUACCGGCUUAUAUUGUUCCCAAUACCAACUCAAAGGAUAAAUCAUCGGAAAUUCGUGUAGUUGUUAUUGUAAUAACUACAGUCAUUGCUUCUCUUUGGUGCUUAUUGCUUUUAUAUCUACCGUUACCAAGGAACAAUACCCUCACCAGUUGCGGUUGCAGUUGCAUGCCUACUCGGCUACAUAGCUCCUCGCAUGGAUCCAGAAGAGAUCACAGCUGUGGAUUCAUUACAAUUUAACUUUAAGACGAUAAGAGAUGCAACUAACAACUUUUCUGAACAAAGAACUUGGUCAAGGUGGAUUUGGCAGGGUUUACAAGGGUAAACUUCAAAAUGGACAAGAAAUAGCAAUGAAAAGGCUGUCAACAAAUUCGUGGCAAGGCGACAAAGAGUUCAAGACAGAGGUUCUUUUAGUUGCAAAGCUCCAGCAUAAGAAUUUGGUUACGUUGUUGGGAUUUUGCUUAUAUAAAAAAGAAAAGUUACAUGUCUAUGAACUCAUGCCUAAUGCAAGUCUUGACAAAGUCCUGCUUGAUAUGCUUCAUAGAAUCGUCGUACUAAAAUUUAUUUCAUUUGAUCUAGUCCCAUUUAUUAAUCAUCGAUUAUAAGUUUAUUGGUCACAAAGAUAAUGUUUAUACAAUUAUAAAUUACAUAUUGCAGACCAAAACAGGCAAGCAACUCUAGAAUGGGAAACCCGUUACAAAAUCUUAAUGGGAACUGCAAGAGGACUACUAUAUCUCCAUGAAGAUUCUAGGUUGAAGAUCAUCCAUCGGGAUCAAAUCGAGCAAUAUAUUGUUGAUGAAAACAUGAACCCGAAAAUAGCAGAUUUUGGAUUGGCAAGACUUGUUGGAACAAGUCAAGCUCAUGUAGAUACCACUAAGAUUGCUGGCACAUAAUAAGUAUAAUCCACAUAGUACUCGUUACAAAUAUAAUCAUGAUCCUUUCCCUUGAAUUCUUCCUUGAUAAUGUAGCAAUGAAAACCAAAGAAAAAAGAAAAUUAGUAAAAGUUUGAACUUUUUUUUUACUUAUUUUAACUUUUUGGAUAAGAAACACAUAAAAAACAUAAAAGUAUAUACUAAAUUAAAUAACUAGAUUUAGUUGAUCACUUUUUGUGAGGUAAGGGAGGGAAGAACUCGAAGCAUAGGAUGCCUUUUAACAACACAAUUAUUUGUUUUGGUUUAUAUUACACAUUUGAUUGUACUUUACAGUGGAUAUAUGGCUCCGGAGUAUAUGCUUUGACAGGGCGCUUCUCAGUCAUGUCAGAUGUUUAUAGCCUUUGGAGUAAUAGCUCUAGAGAUUAUAAGCGGGCACAAGUGCAGCUCAAUUGCCUUCCCCUUUGAAGGUGAAAGUUUAUGCCUACGUGCUUGGAGCUUAUGGAGAGACGGUGGAAUACUCGACUUGGUGGAUCCAAGGCUUGAUGGCAACUACUCAAGCGAGGAAGUAACAAGAUGCGUACACAUUGCUUUGCUAUGUAUCCAAGAAGACCCAAAUAAGAGGCCUACGAUGGCUCCGAUAGUAUCAACCUUCAAUGGCCAUCUUGUUGCUCUCCCGGAGCCCGAACCACCGCAGGUUGGUCCAUUGACGAUUUUCCAAUAUGGUUCCCAAAGAGAGGGGCAGACAUCAUCCAGUGAAAAUUCUAAAAAUAGAGAUGAUACUUCAUUAAUUUAUCCUCGAUAGAACAAACAUUGGAGGAAAUUAAUUCGUAAUGCAAUGGCUUCUAGUUGUCUGCUACUAUAUCAAGUGGGCAUACUUGCUUCAAACUUGGAUUGGUUUAUUCCAAUGAAGACUUACCAAAAUACAAUAGUUUUAAACUCGUGCCAUGCAUGACUAAUGCAAGACUUUCCUUUUUGUAGAUAAUAUGUGUUAAUAGAAUUGAAGUAUAAAUUUUCAUUAGUUGUUUUUAUUUUAUUGUUUACAUUUCUACCUAUA
This is a long non-coding RNA of Chenopodium quinoa (quinoa), 2683 nucleotides long. RefSeq lists it as uncharacterized. The record is from RefSeq and is a predicted model, not a curated record. NCBI's taxonomy places the organism in Eukaryota, Viridiplantae, Streptophyta, Magnoliopsida, Caryophyllales, Amaranthaceae. The transcript has 5 exons.